Long non-coding RNA from Columba livia (rock pigeon), 2480 nucleotides. RefSeq lists it as uncharacterized. Lineage: Eukaryota; Metazoa; Chordata; Aves; Columbiformes; Columbidae. The record is from RefSeq and is a predicted model, not a curated record. The transcript has 2 exons.
CGCGGCUGCGCAUGGGCAGAGCGUUCCGGGCGGCGGGCGUGAGGCUGAGGCGGGGAGGCCCCGCCCGGGCCUCUGCGGGCGUGUCCCCGGCGUCACCUCACUCUGUCCUGGUGGCGCAGAGUAACGCGGUGCAGGCGGGCUCCCUGGAGUUCGUACCUUUCUUUAAUUGAGGUUCAAGGUCUUGGGAGCAGUUAGUCCGUUCGAGAAAUUCUCUGCUGCUGCAACACACAGCGCCUGGGCUCUGCGGCAGGAACGCGGUCACUGCGCGGGACGAUCCGGGCGCCUCGAUCCUGGAGUUCUUUCCCCGGAGCUGUGGGAUGUGCAGGCAGAGGAAGGAGAAGUCACCGUUUUGGCAGAGAAACAACAACUUCAGAGUCAGCCUCCUGGAUCCUGUUUCUGUGCAUGGGGAUGCUGGGGGGGGUGUAGUGGAGAAGGGUGGAUAAAAAUAAUUAAAAUUAAUUGGCUUAGUGCCACUGCAGAGGACAGGCAGCCUAGAACAGACAGUCUGUGACAAGGUGGAUAGAAAUAUUUACACUUUUCAUACAGUAGCGUGUGCCUUUGCUAGAAAAAAGCCAUAGUUACUGUGAGUUUGGGUUAGGCACCACUUUUCUGAUUUAUGCUCUAAUAAACAUAGGUUAUUUGUGGUAACAGCACAGAAAGUGAGGAAUGCUGUAUUCAAUUGGAACUGAAAGGAAAUCAAGGCAAACCUUAUCUCAUUAAUCAAAUUCCAGCCAAGAACAGCAUCAGGGCCAUCAUCUCUAAUCUCAGAAAAAUGUUUCUUAAUGACCACAAGCAAUCAGUAUGUUUCUAGUUGAUCAGACUGGAAGGGCUGCGGUCCGGCCCCUUAGCCUCCCCGCAAGGAUGGCUCUGGCAGCCCCACCACCUGGGAUCCUCUGAUCGAGCACUAAUCACAUCCAGCAUUCCUUAUCCUGGGAAAUGACCAAACCAAAGCAACAAUAGAAUAUUGCCAGAGGAUUUUUCUGUUCCGUUCAUUUUCACUGAUGUUUUACCUCCUUGAGGAAAGUUUUUAACAUGAGAGCCUUCCACAUGAGAGUUUUCCACAUGAAGAUUUUUUUUUCUCCAAUAGCUAGGUGGGCUAGGAUGCCUUUUUGGUCUAUUUGUUUUUAAUGUGGUUUGGGAUUAGGGCUCUCCUUUCUAAGUAUGAAAGCCAUGUUCGGCUCCACAGGUGCUGACCCCCCCGCCCCAGCUGAUCGCGUGCCACCCUGCUCCGGCUGGCCACGGCCCCUCCCCCGCUCCGGCUGGCCACGCCCCCCCUCCUCCGGCUGGCCACGCCUCCACUGCACACUGUGGCGGGGGCGGGAGGGGGGAUCACAAGGGUCUAUGGGGCGGUGUGGGGGUCAGGGCGGCUGUGGGGUCAAUGGGGUUGUUGUGGGGUGAAACACCCCUGAAGAGGCUGAACCCCCUACAGGUGAGUGACCCACACAGUGCCCCACAGCAGCCCAUAGCCCCUCUGCCCUAUAGAGUCACUGCACCCCAUAGCUGCUUUUACUCUGCACCAUAAAUGGACAGCAGUGCUCCACAGCACCCUAAGUCUCCACUGUGCCCCAUAGACACACAGUGCUGUCCCACAGCACCCCAUAUCUUGUUCACUCUGCCCUAUAGACCCACAGUGUAACCCUACAGCACCCCAUAGUUCCUCUGCCCUAUAGAUCAACAGCACUGUCCCAGAAAACACCAUAGCUUCUUCCCACUAGCCCAUAGGCCAGCAAUUCUGCCCUACAGCGCACUAGCUCCUGCACCCUAUCCCAUAGACCCACAGCAGUGCCCCACAGAUCCAGUCUGCCCUAUACAGCCACAGCACUGCUCUGCAGCACCAUAUACUUCCAGCACUCUGCCCCACUGAUAUGUAGCACCCCACAGCUGCUGCAUUCUGCCCAUAGAUCGACGUUCCUGGGUCCCCUCACCCCACCAGCUGUCCUGGGCUGCGAUGCUGCACGGGGCCCUGUGCACAACAAAAUGAGGACAGCAUGGCUGCUGGGCGCCACCCUGCUUGGAAUCCAAGAUGGCUGGGGGGGGAGGGCUGGCAGCCAUGCUGGCACUGCCGGAGGGGCUGUUGGUCUGCGCCGUGCUCAGGCGGCAGCUCCCGGCUGUAUCGGCUGCCCCUGUGGCCCUGCACCCUGCCCAUGGGAACAAGGUGGCUGCCCUGAUGGGCGUGGCCAUCUGGGCUGCUGUGUCCCUGCUGGUGGGUGGGGCCAUGGCUGUCAUGGCUGCCAAGCCUGUGCUGGAAGGGUGGGGCUGAGGUGGGCGGGGCCUGCCUAGGGUGGCCAUUUUGGGGUCGGGCCCAAGGUGGGUGGUGGGGCCUGUGGCUCUGUUUACCCCUGACGGCCAUCUUGGAAAAGGGCAGCGCCGUGCCGCUGCCAUCCUGACGUUGCUCCCCCAGGGCCAUGUUGGGGGAUUUUUAACCUGGUUUUGGGGCCAAUUCUCACCCAAUAAAAUUAAAUAAUGUAAAAAAACCUUAA